This 266-nucleotide ribosomal RNA is filed under the name uncultured bacterium. RNAcentral describes it as "partial 16S ribosomal RNA". It matches the Rfam family "Bacterial small subunit ribosomal RNA", at positions 88 to 353 of the family's 1533-position model. The record is from RNAcentral.
AUGGCGACCGGCGCACGGGUGAGUAACACGUAUCCAACCUGCCGAUAACUCGGGGAUAGCCUUUCGAAAGAAAGAUUAAUACCCGAUGGCAUAAUAGAACCGCAUGGUUUGAUUAUUAAAGAAUUUCGGUUAUCGAUGGGGAUGCGUUCCAUUAGGCAGUUGGUGGGGUAACGGCCCACCAAACCUUCGAUGGAUAGGGGUUCUGAGAGGAAGGUCCCCCACAUUGGAACUGAGACACGGUCCAAACUCCUACGGGAGGCAGCAUG